Molecule: ribosomal RNA, 301 nt
Filed under: uncultured bacterium
Lineage: Bacteria
Description: partial 16S ribosomal RNA
Rfam family: Bacterial small subunit ribosomal RNA
Source: RNAcentral
CAGUCGCCGCGGGAAUACGUAGGUGGCAAGCGUUGUCCGGAAUUAUUGGGCGUAAAGGGCUCGCAGGCGGUUUCUUAAGUCUGAUGUGAAAGCCCCCGGCUCAACCGGGGAGGGUCAUUGGAAGCUGGGAAACUUGAGUGCAGAAGAGGAGAGUGGAAUUCCACGUGUAGCGGUGAAAUGCGUAGAGAUGUGGAGGAACACCAGUGGCGAAGGCGACUCUCUGGUCUGUAACUGACGCUGAGGAGCGAAAGCGUGGGGAGCGAACAGGAUUAGAUACCCCCGUAGUCCCUGUCUCUUAUAU